RNAcentral lists this ribosomal RNA (510 nucleotides) under uncultured bacterium. Its description in RNAcentral is "partial 16S ribosomal RNA". It matches the Rfam family "Bacterial small subunit ribosomal RNA", at positions 28 to 507 of the family's 1533-position model. The record is from RNAcentral.
GACGAACGCUGGCGGCGUGCUUAACACAUGCAAGUCGAACGAAGAGCGAUGGAAGCUUGCUUCUAUCAAUCCUAGUGGCGAACGGGUGAGUAACGCGUAAUCAACCUGCCCUUCAGAGGGGGACAACAGUUGGAAACGACUGCUAAUACCGCAUACGAUCUAAUCUCGGCAUCGAGGAUAGAUGAAAGGUGGCCUCUACAUGUAAGCUAUCACUGAAGGAGGGGAUUGCGUCUGAUUAGCUAGUUGGAGGGGUAACGGCCCACCAAGGCGAUGAUCAGUAGCCGGUCUGAGAGGAUGAACGGCCACAUUGGGACUGAGACACGGCCCAGACUCCUACGGGAGGCAGCAGUGGGGAAUCUUCCGCAAUGGACGAAAGUCUGACGGAGCAACGCCGCGUGAGUGAUGACGGCCUUCGGGUUGUAAAGCUCUGUUAAUCGGGACGAAAGGCCUUCUUGCGAAUAGUGAGAAGGAUUGACGGUAUCGGAAUAGAAAGCCACGGCUAACUACGUG